RNAcentral lists this ribosomal RNA (260 nucleotides) under uncultured bacterium. Its description in RNAcentral is "partial small subunit ribosomal RNA". It matches the Rfam family "Bacterial small subunit ribosomal RNA", at positions 26 to 285 of the family's 1533-position model. The record is from RNAcentral.
AGAGCGAACGCUGGCGGCGUGCUUAACACAUGCAAGUCGAACGAGGGCUGUAGCAAUACAGCUACUCGUGGCGAACGGGUGCGUAACACGUGGAUAACCUUCCUUGAGGUGGGGAAUAACCCAGUGAAAUUAGGGCUAAUACCGCAUAACAUGACGAUGCCGCAUGGCGUUGUCUUCAAAGGCGCGAAGUCGCCACAAGAGGGAUCCGCGGCCGAUUAGCUUGUUGGCGAGGUAAUGGCUCACCAAGGCAAUGAUCGGUA